Molecule: non-coding RNA, 1595 nt
Organism: Paramuricea clavata
Lineage: Eukaryota; Metazoa; Cnidaria; Anthozoa; Malacalcyonacea; Plexauridae
Source: the annotation of a GenBank genome assembly
AACGAAAGAUGACUGUCACUAUAACUACAAUAUAAACAAUUUACGCUUCCUAACAGUUGCAUGGGAUAAUUAUUACAUGGGUUUAGUCAUUUGGAAUCAGUAUCAAUUCAAAACUGUUGAGACAGAGCUUGAAAUAACAGCCGAUCGACAAGAAAUUGCUUAUGAUCGGCGGAAAAGCAGGGUUUCCAACCUGAAAAAAAAACAGGGAAAGUCAUGACUGCCGAUCACCAUGAUCGUAAGAAUACAAAUUUACAAUUACAUGUAUCGAAUGGGCUUACAGUAAAUCGAUAGGACUUAUGAAGCUUCACAGCACAUCAUGCAUAGCAUAUUUUGCAUUUUCAGUGUGAAUCCUUAAACUCAUUGUUCAAAAGUAAUCACCGUGGUUGUUAUUGUAAUUAUUGGUAUUGUCAAAACCUUUUUUUUAACUGACACAUGCAUAAACUACAGUAUAUGUUUUUUUAUAAUCAAACCGUUUAAUUUCAUUAUAAAGAGCACUAAAAAUCUACUUGUCUCUACCGAUGCAGUAUUCACAAAAUUAUUCAUUGCCAUUGAUUGAAAAUAAUUGAAUUGGUUAGGUAAUUCUUAUCCUGAUAGAUCGUGUUUAUGGUGUUUAGCCUAUACUACCACAUCGGUUGAGGCUAAGCUAUAAAUUUACUAUCGUGUUUAUAUAACGAAAUAUACGUUUAGUUUCAUUGUUAUCAGGAUUAACAGUAGUCGUGUAGUAACACAUUGGCCAAUUUUCAACUUGGUUACCAUCGCCUCAGCGUGUUGUUAUUUUCCUAUGGCUGUGUUGUAAACACUGAAACACGACAUCAUUGUAUUGACAAACAUGAUGGAAUUGAUCGAAUUUCAAAAUAUAAAAUAGACGGUCUUAGUAUGUACAACGUGUCAUACCCGUUCAAAGCCCAGAAUUAGAAACAUUCGUCAUAUAAAUUGAGCAUUAUUCAAUAUAUUAAUUAGCCUAAAAUGCCUAUGUAAUUUUGUCUCCUUAUUAUAAUAAAUAAAUUUUAUUUUUAGACAAAAAUUAAAAUUUAUAUGGGGGUGGCGAAUUUCCUAGGAUAUUCGCCCCCCGGGGGCGAUAUUCCUAAGAAUAUCCCCCCCCCCUCUUUUGAGAGGGGGCGAAUCUCCUGGGGGGGGGGCGAAAUUCCUGUGACACCGGUAUGAAAAUCGCUACGCUCAGAUGCAAUCUGGUAUAGCGUAACUUUUAUAUUUCAAUCUAUUGUAACAAUGAAAUACUGUAUACCAAAAUUAAAAUUGUCUAAAUACCAAUAUAACUGAAAGACAGUAUAAAUGUCUCUGUAUAUGUCCUGCAAAGUCAGAGCUAUAUAAAUUUGAUACGGAAUCGCCAAAUAGUGCAUGGGCGGAUAUACAUACACACAUACGCUGGCCUCAACAACUCACGGCUGAUUUCCAUGAGGGGCGUGAUUUUAGAAAGAAUAUACUGUACAGAUAAACAUUAAAAAUACAAAAAAAUACAAAGAAAGAAGAAUUACUAUAUAGGCAACAAGACGAGCCAAUUUUAAGUGUUUGCCUGAUUAAUAUUAUAGUUAUUUGAAAAGAACUUAAAGAUUCCGCUACUUUUACCUCAUUCGGUA